This 2109-nucleotide long non-coding RNA is filed under the name Homo sapiens (human). Its description in RNAcentral is "HSALNT0138147". Lineage: Eukaryota; Metazoa; Chordata; Mammalia; Primates; Hominidae. The record is from RNAcentral.
CCUAAAGUGUGCGCCUCUGAUACAGGUUCAAAAUGGUUUCAUGGCCAUAGAAGUGUGAAAAUGCUACAUAUCAAUAAUUGCGCAGAGAGGGCCAAGCGCGGUGGCUCACGCCUGUAAUCCCAGCACUUAGGGAGGCUGAGGCAGGUGGAUCAUUUGACGUCAAGAGUUUGAGACCAGCCUGGUCAACAUGGUGAAACUCGUCUCUACAAAAACUACAAAAAUUAGCCGGGUGUUGUAGCAGGUGCCUGUAAUUCCAGCUACUUGGGAGGCUGAGGUAGGAGAAUCGCUUGAACCUGGGAGGCAGAGGUUGCUGUGGGCCAAGAUUGCACCACUGCAAUGCAGCCUGGGUGACAGAGCGAGACUCUGUCUCAAAAAAUAAAUAAAUAAAAAAAAUAGUGCAGAGGUGGCUUAGGGCACUAACAUCCAAUUAUUUCUAUCAGCAUCCCAGAUCACCACAAAAUACACACUCGAUAUGAAACAAUGUGCAGAAGGACAUCUUCUAGUGUUGUGUGCCCCAAGCAGACUCCUGACAUUAAGCCCUUCUUUUUCCUAGACAUUCUAGAGCCAUCACUGUUGCUCUCUGGAGAGUCACAAUGUCCUUAGCAAAGAAAGGCUAUGAGAAGACCUAAAGUGGAAAAAGAAUAAAACUAAUUUAGUCCGCAUUUGACUACAGAACCCUUCCUUCAACAUGAUGCCUACUAAUAUCCACAGAAUUCAUGGCACAUAACCUGCCAAAUGCCAGGCUAUGUGGAAAUUAAUGUUUGAACAGGAAAAUGUUGUACCAGAGGUGUCCUUGUAAAGGAUGUAGUCCAUUUCUUGCGAUUUUACUGAUACUCAAUUUGAGGCCCUCUUUGAUGUAAUCUGCGGACACCUAGUGCUGAUGCUUUAAUUUAAGUACAUACACAUAAUUUCCUACAAUAAACUGCUGCCCAUCUACAUAAAAAACCCUGCUUGCAGACUGCCUUAUAUUUAAAUUCUUAUACAUCAUCACAAUGCACUUAUAUCUUGGAAUAAUACGAAAGGAUUUAUUUAAAUGAUCCACAGGGUUAAAAAAGAAGUAUGCAGGCUUGUGCUUUUGCUCUUACCUAUUAAAAUGUCUUCCGCAACUACAGAUGUAGAAAGUAUGUCAGGUACUUCUUAUUCUGAUUUUUAUGUCAUACAAAAGGAACUGAAUUAGACUGUGUUUAGGAGACAGAGUUAAAUGGGUCAGAGAGAGGGAUCAGGCCCUUCUACAAAAACUAGAAUGUUACUAGAAUGAAGAUAUAACAAGUGUUUCACUUAAGCAAAUUCUUAAACUUUAUAUUCUUCCACCCUAAAAGCACCCUUCAGGUUCUAAAUAAAGGGAAAAUAAAGACAGGUAACAGGCAAAGGUAAUAGAAUUGCAGUGAUAAGCAUUCUUCUGCUCCAACAAUAUUGGUUGUUUGGUUUUGCCAUUUAAAAUUAAUAGUAACUCGGCUGGGCGCGGUGGCUCACACCUGUAAUCCCAGCCCUCUGUACAUUUAAUAAUGUCAAUGCAAAAACAGCUGUUUGCACAAAUACACUGCAUUAUUAACUUCCUGGUCUUCUGUUGCUAGUUUGAAAUAAUCAGAUCUCAAAUUUUAACAAAAAUUCUGGCACUACAAAACCCUGGAAAGCCAGUUUUAUUUGAAUAUCACUCGAUUAGAGUCUACUCACUUUAAGAUAAGGUUAGUAUUUUUUCGACUAUUUUAAAUCUGAAUUAUAUGGUAUCUAAUUUAAGCCUUCCUGGGAAAUAAAAAAAAAUUCCUCAUUGUGUAUUUACUACUUUACUUACAGUGACUAAGUUGUUGCAAAUAUAUGUAAGUGCAUGUGUGUUAUGUGCAAUUUCUAUUUUUAGUAGGAACGUGGCACCAACAGUUACAGCACUGAGUUUGCCAUGGGCUACUGUGUGACAUGUGAUGACUCAACUCUCCCACCUCUUUUCUCAAAAUGAUCGUGAAACCUUACACGUUUUGUCACAAUGUUCAUUGGCUUUCAACUGAUAAAAACAAAAUCCUAAACUUGGUGUGAAUUCAGGCUCUCAAAACUUCAUGUUUUAAGGUACUCAUCUGGAAAAAUCACAAUAUGACUUUGCUUUAGAUUAGCAUCAAA